RNAcentral lists this ribosomal RNA (301 nucleotides) under uncultured bacterium. RNAcentral's name for it is "partial 16S ribosomal RNA". It matches the Rfam family "Bacterial small subunit ribosomal RNA", at positions 509 to 807 of the family's 1533-position model. The record is from RNAcentral.
CAGCCGCCACGGUAAUACGAAGGGUGCAAGCGUUAAUCGGAAUUACUGGGCAUAAAGCGCGCGUAGGUGGUUUGGUAAGAUGGAUGUGAAAUCCCCGGGCUCAACCUGGGAACUGCAUCCAUAACUGCCUGACUAGAGUACGGUAGAGGGUGGUGGAAUUUCCUGUGUAGCGGUGAAAUGCGUAGAUAUAGGAAGGAACACCAGUGGCGAAGGCGACCACCUGGACUGAUACUGACACUGAGGUGCGAAAGCGUGGGGAGCAAACAGGAUUAGAUACCCCCGUAGUCCCUGUCUCUUAUAC